This 102-nucleotide microRNA precursor is filed under the name Marmota monax (woodchuck). Lineage: Eukaryota; Metazoa; Chordata; Mammalia; Rodentia; Sciuridae. The record is from RNAcentral.
AGAGGGAUAGCUGGAUCAAAAGGUGGUUCCUUUCCAGUUUUCUAAGGAUUCCUCAUACUACUUUCCAGAUUGGCUGCACCAUUUUGCAGUCCCACCAGCAAU